AUAAAAGUAUUUGCUACCGAAGACAGUAGGUGCCGUAAGGCAUAAGUUGAUAACGCCUACCGAGGUUAAUCUUAAGUUGAAGAUUUUUCAGACCUCUUUAGUUCUUUGGACUUGAGAGGUCUUUCGUUUUU
This 131-nucleotide small RNA is filed under the name human gut metagenome. RNAcentral describes it as "Ribosomal protein L10 leader". It matches the Rfam family "Ribosomal protein L10 leader". Rfam says of the family: This family is a putative r-protein leader autoregulatory structure found in B. subtilis and other low-GC Gram-positive bacteria. It is located in the 5' untranslated regions of mRNAs encoding ribosomal proteins L10 and L12 (rplJ-rplL). The record is from RNAcentral.